GUGGGGAAUUUUGGACAAUGGGCGAAAGCCUGAUCCAGCCAUGCCGCGUGUGUGAAGAAGGUCUUCGGAUUGUAAAGCACUUUAAGUUGGGAGGAAGGGCAGUAAGUUAAUACCUUGCUGUUUUGACGUUACCGACAGAAUAAGCACCGGCUAACUUCGUGCCAGCAGCCGCGGUAAUACGAAGGGUGCAAGCGUUAAUCGGAAUUACUGGGCGUAAAGCGCGCGUAGGUGGUUUUGUAAGUUGGAGGUGAAAUCCCCGGACUCAACCUGGGAACUGCCUCCAAAACUGCAUUACUAGAGUACGGUAGAGGGUAGUGGAAUUUCCUGUGUAGCGGUGAAAUGCGUAGAUAUAGGAAGGAACACCAGUGGCGAAGGCGACUACCUGGACUGAUACUGACACUGAGGUGCGAAAGCGUGGGGAGCAAACAGGAUUAGAAACCCGUGUAGUCC
Molecule: ribosomal RNA, 450 nt
Filed under: uncultured bacterium
Lineage: Bacteria
Description: partial 16S ribosomal RNA
Rfam family: Bacterial small subunit ribosomal RNA
Source: RNAcentral